GACGAACGCUGGCGGCGUGCUUAACACAUGCAAGUCGAACGGAAAGACCCUGCUUUUGUGGGGUGCUCGAUUGGCGAACGGGUGAGUAACACGUGAGUAACCUGCCCUUGACUUUGGGAUAACUUCAGGAAACUGGGGCUCAUACCGGAUAUGAGCUCCUGCUGCAUGUUGGGGGUUGGAAAGUUUCGGCGGUUGGGGAUGGACUCGCGGCUUAUCAGCUUGUUGGUGGGGUAGUGGCUUACCAAGGGUUUGACGGGUAGCCUGCCUGAGAGGGGGACCGGCGACAUGGGGACUGAGAGACGGCGCAGAAUCCAACGGGAGGCAGCAGGGGGGAAUAUGGCACAAUGGGCGGAAGCGUGAGGCAGAAACGCCGCGUUCGGGAUGACGGCCUACGGGUGGUAAACCGCUGUCGCCUGUGACGAAGCGGGAGUGACGGUAAUGGGUAAAGAAGCACCGGCUAACUACGUG
This 468-nucleotide ribosomal RNA is filed under the name uncultured bacterium. RNAcentral describes it as "partial 16S ribosomal RNA". It matches the Rfam family "Bacterial small subunit ribosomal RNA", at positions 28 to 507 of the family's 1533-position model. The record is from RNAcentral.